GACGAACGCUGGCGGCGUGCUUAACACAUGCAAGUCGAACGGUGAAGCGCUUGCCUUUUUGGUGGGUGUGGAUGAGUGGCGAACGGGUGAGUAACACGUGAGUAACCUGCCCUCUUCUUCUGGAUAACCUCAUGAAAGUGGGGCUAAUACGGGGUAUUCCGGGUCUGUCGCAUGGCGGGUUUGGGAAAGAUUGCGCCUUUGGGUGUUUUCGGUGGGGGAUGGGCUCGCGCCUAUCAGCUUGUUGGUGGGGUGAUGGCCUACCAAGGCGGUGACGGGUAGCCGGCCUGAGAGGGUGGACGGCCACACUGGGACUGAGACACGGCCCAGACUCCUGCGGGAGGCAGCAGUGGGGAAUAUUGCACAAUGGGCGCAAGCCUGAUGCAGCGACGCCGCGUGAGGGAUGGAGGCCUUCGGGUUGUGAACCUCUUUCGCCAGUGAAGCAGGCCUGCUCCUGUGUGGGUGGGUUGACGGUAGCUGGAUAAGAAGCGCCGGCUAACUACGUG
This 503-nucleotide ribosomal RNA is filed under the name uncultured bacterium. RNAcentral describes it as "partial 16S ribosomal RNA". It matches the Rfam family "Bacterial small subunit ribosomal RNA", at positions 28 to 507 of the family's 1533-position model. The record is from RNAcentral.